CUAUGCGCCUUGCCAGCCCGCUCAGGUGUGCCAGCAGCCGCGGUAAUACGUAGGGGGCAAGCGUUAUCCGGAUUUACUGGGUGUAAAGGGAGCGUAGACGGCCAGACAAGUCUGAAGUGAAAAUCCAGCGCUUAACGUUGGAAGUGCUUUGGAAACUGCCGGGCUAGAGUGCAGGAGGGGCAGGCGGAAUUCCUAGUGUAGCGGUGAAAUGCGUAGAUAUUAGGAGGAACACCAGUGGCGAAGGCGGCCUGCUGGACUGCAACUGACGUUGAGGCUCGAAGGCGUGGGGAGCAAACAGG
RNAcentral lists this ribosomal RNA (299 nucleotides) under uncultured bacterium. RNAcentral describes it as "partial 16S ribosomal RNA". It matches the Rfam family "Bacterial small subunit ribosomal RNA", at positions 475 to 776 of the family's 1533-position model. The record is from RNAcentral.